This is a non-coding RNA of Cinara cedri, 494 nucleotides long. The record is from the annotation of a GenBank genome assembly. NCBI's taxonomy places the organism in Eukaryota, Metazoa, Arthropoda, Insecta, Hemiptera, Aphididae.
AACUAAAAACGAUUCUGAGCAGAGUUCAUUUAUACAUGGUUUGAAAGACCGUAAUAUUUCCGAUUUGAAAAUAAUAUAUUUCGUAAAUUUUUCAAUUUUUUCUACGUUUUUUCUCGAUUUUUCCCAUUCAUCAUGAAAAUCCCUAAAAAUAUCAAAAAAUUGCAAUCCUAGUCAAAGUUCCUAUCAGAAAAUGUGUUAUACUUGAAAAUCAUAGCGAAAAUUCUGGUAAAUAAGUUGUUCACCUCCCCCCCUCUACGAUUGGGAAUUACUACAUAAGAAGAAGAAGAAUUUCUCUAACAUUUCAGCAGUGUUCAAUUUACUUGUUUCAGUAAAAUAAUAGUAAGUAGUAAAAUUUGUAAUUUUUGGUGACAAACUUAAUUAUAACAACUAUAGAGGAAUAUCACUGCUGAACACGACAUAUAAGAUAUUCUCAAAAAUAUUACUAGGAAGAUUAUAACCCUUUGCAGAUGAAUAUAUAGGGGAGUAUCAAUGCG